GUGCCAGCCGCCGCGGUAAUACGGAGGAUCCAAGCGUUAUCCGGAAUCAUUGGGUUUAAAGGGUCCGUAGGCGGGAUGAUAAGUCAGUGGUGAAAGUCUGCAGCUCAACUGUAGAAUUGCCAUUGAUACUGUUGUUCUUGAGUUAUUGUGAAGUGGUUAGAAUGAGUAGUGUAGCGGUGAAAUGCAUAGAUAUUACUCAGAAUACCGAUUGCGAAGGCAGAUCACUAACAAUGAACUGACGCUGAUGGACGAAAGCGUAGGUAGCGAACAGGAUUAGAUACCCGGGUAGUCC
This 292-nucleotide ribosomal RNA is filed under the name uncultured bacterium. RNAcentral describes it as "partial 16S ribosomal RNA". It matches the Rfam family "Bacterial small subunit ribosomal RNA", at positions 505 to 796 of the family's 1533-position model. The record is from RNAcentral.